This 468-nucleotide ribosomal RNA is filed under the name uncultured bacterium. Its description in RNAcentral is "partial 16S ribosomal RNA". It matches the Rfam family "Bacterial small subunit ribosomal RNA", at positions 28 to 507 of the family's 1533-position model. The record is from RNAcentral.
GACGAACGCUGGCGGCGUGCUUAACACAUGCAAGUCGAACGGAAAGGCCCUGCUUUUGUGGGGUGCUCGAGUGGCGAACGGGUGAGUAACACGUGAGUAACCUGCCCUUUACUUUGGGAUAACUUCAGGAAACUGGGGCUAAUACCGGAUAGGAGCUCCUGCUGCAUGGUUGGGGUUGGAAAGUUUCGGCGGUUGGGGAUGGACUCGCGGCUUAUCAGCUUGUUGGUGGGGUAGUGGCUUACCAAGGCUUUGACGGGUAGCCGGCCUGAGAGGGUGACCGGCCACAUUGGGACUGAGAUACGGCCAAGACUCCUACGGGAGGCAGCAGUGGGGAAUAUUGCACAAUGGGCGGAAGCCUGAUGCAGCAACGCCGCGUGCGGGAUGACGGCCUUCGGGUUGUAAACCGCUUUCGCCUGUGACGAAGCGUGAGUGACGGUAAUGGGUAAAGAAGCACCGGCUAACUACGUG